UACAUGGGGUGCAAACGUUGCUCGGAAUUAUUGGGCGUAAAGCGCACGUAGGCGGUUCGUUAAGUCGGAUGUGAAAGCCCUCGGCUCAACUGAGGAAGUGCACCCGAAACUGGCGAGCUUGAGUACGAAAGAGGAUCGCGGAAUUCCCGGUGUAGAGGUGAAAUUCGUAGAUAUCGGGAGGAACACCGGUGGCGAAGGCGGCGAUUCGUGGGUCGAGUACGUGAGCGCAUGAGGUGGCGAA
Molecule: ribosomal RNA, 241 nt
Filed under: uncultured bacterium
Lineage: Bacteria
Description: partial 16S ribosomal RNA
Rfam family: Bacterial small subunit ribosomal RNA
Source: RNAcentral